GCAAGUCGAACGAUGAAGCCCUUCGGGGUGGAUUAGUGGCGAACGGGUGAGUAACACGUGGGCAAUCUGCCCUUCACUCUGGGACAAGCCCUGGAAACGGGGUCUAAUACCGGAUAUCACUUCCACUCGCAUGGGUGGAGGUUGAAAGCUCCGGCGGUGAAGGAUGAGCCCGCGGCCUAUCAGCUUGUUGGUGAGGUAAUGGCUCACCAAGGCGACGACGGGUAGCCGGCCUGAGAGGGCGACCGGCCACACUGGGACUGAGACACGGCCCAGACUCCUACGGGAGGCAGCAGUGGGGAAUAUUGCACAAUGGGCGAAAGCCUGAUGCAGCGACGCCGCGUGAGGGAUGACGGCCUUCGGGUUGUAAACCUCUUUCAGCAGGGAAGAAGCGAAAGUGACGGUACCUGCAGAAGAAGCGCCGGCUAACUACGUGCCAGCAGCCGCGGUAAUACGUAGGGCGCGAGCGUUGUCCGGAAUUAUUGGGCGUAAAGAGCUCGUAGGCGGCUUGUCACGUCGGGUGUGAAAGACCGGGGCUUAACUCCGGUUCUGCAUUCGAUACGGGCUAGCUAGAGUGUGGUAGGGGAGAUCGGAAUUCCUGGUGUAGCGGUGAAA
Molecule: ribosomal RNA, 612 nt
Filed under: Streptomyces sp. Sp080513SC-03
Lineage: Bacteria; Bacillati; Actinomycetota; Actinomycetes; Kitasatosporales; Streptomycetaceae
Description: bacterial SSU rRNA
Rfam family: Bacterial small subunit ribosomal RNA
Source: RNAcentral